Long non-coding RNA from Sinocyclocheilus anshuiensis, 116 nucleotides. RefSeq lists it as uncharacterized. The record is from RefSeq and is a predicted model, not a curated record. Lineage: Eukaryota; Metazoa; Chordata; Actinopteri; Cypriniformes; Cyprinidae. The transcript is spliced from 3 exons.
GAAACAUUCUGAAGAGAGAUUGUGAAACCAGAACAGAUGAUUGUUGUAACACUGUCCCAUUUCAUGCUUGCAGUUACUGUAAAGAAAACAACCUGUAACAUGAGUCUGUGUGAAAC